AACGAACGCUGGCGGCAUGGAUUAGGCAUGCAAGUCGGACGGGAGUAGCAAUACUCCAGUGGCGAAAGGGUGAGGAACACGUGAGCAACGUGCCCCCAAGUUGGGAAUAGCUCCGGGAAACUGGAAUUAAUACCGAAUGUGGCCUCCGCCUGCAUGGGCGGAUGGCUAAAGAUUUAUCGCUUGGGGAUCGGCUCGCGUCCCAUUAGCUUGUUGGCGGGGUAACGGCCCACCAAGGCGACGAUGGGUAGCUGGUCUGAGAGGACGACCAGCCACACUGGGACUGAGACACUGCCCAGACUCCUACGGGAGGCUGCAGUCGAGAAUCUUCCGCAAUGCGCGAAAGCGUGACGGAGCAAUGCCGCGUGCCGGAUGAAGGCCUUCGGGUCGUAAACGGCUGUCACCGGGGACGAAUCCAAUGACGGUACCCGGGGAGGAAGCCACGGCUAACUACGUGCCAGCAGCCGCGGUAAUACGUAGGUGGCGAGCGUUGUUCGGAUUUACUGGGCGUAAAGGGUCCGCAGGGGGCCGGCCAAGUCCGAUGUGAAAUCCCGGAGCUCAACUCCGGAACUGCAUUGGAAACUAGUCGGCUAGAGUCUCGGAGAGGAGAGUGGAAUUCCAGGUGUAGCGGUGGAAUGCGUAGAUAUCUGGAAGAACACCGAAGGCGAAGGCAGCUCUCUGGACGAGUACUGACCCUCAGGGACGAAAGCGUGGGGAGCAAACAGGAUUAGAUACCCUGGUAGUCCACGCUGUAAACGUUGUGUACUUGAUGUGGGGGGACUUGACCCCCCCCGCGUCGGAGCUAACGCGUUAAGUACACCGCCUGGGAACUACGGCCGCAAGGCUAAAACUCAAAGGAAUUGACGGGGACCCGCACAAGCGGUGGAGCAUGUGGCUUAAUUCGAGGCAACGCGAAGAACCUUACCUGGGCUUGAACGCUUGAUGAUAUUGGGAGAAAUCUCAAGUCCCUUCGGGGCGUUGAGCGAGGUGCUGCAUGGUUGUCGUCAGCUCGUGCCGUGAGGUGUCGGGUUAAGUCCCAUAACGAGCGCAACCCCUAUCAUUAGUUGCCAACAGGUUAGGCUGGGGACUCUAAUGAAACUGCCUACGCAAGUAGAGAGGAAGGUGGGGAUGACGUCAAAUCAGCACGGCCCUUACGUCCAGGGCUACACACGUGCUACAAUGGCCGGUACAGAGGGCAGCCACCUGGUGACAGGGAGCGAAUCUCGAAAGCCGGUCUCAGUUCGGAUCGAAGUCUGCAACCCGACUUCGUGAAGCUGGAAUCGCUAGUAAUCGCGCAUCAGCCAUGGCGCGGUGAAUACGUUCCCGGGCCUUGUACACACCGCCCGUCAAGCCAUGGGAGCCGGGGGUACCUGAAGUCGGUAACCGCAAGGAGCCGCCUAGGGUAAACUUGGUGACUGGGGCU
This 1420-nucleotide ribosomal RNA is filed under the name uncultured bacterium. RNAcentral's name for it is "bacterial SSU rRNA". It matches the Rfam family "Bacterial small subunit ribosomal RNA". The record is from RNAcentral.